AUACGUAGGUGACAAGCGUUAUCCGGAUUUACUGGGCGUAAAGGGUGCGUAGGCGGUUUGCUAAGCGGGAGGUGAAAUGCCGGCGCUCAACGUCGGAAGUGCCUCCCGAACUGGUGGACUUGAAUGACUCUGCCGUGGGAGGAAUGUGUAGUGUAGCGGUGAAAUGCUUAGAGAUUACACAGAACACCGAUUGCGAAGGCACCUCACGAAGGGUUGAUUGACGCUGAGGCACGAAAGCGUGGGGAUCAAACAGGAUUAGAUACCCUGGUAGUCCACGCAGUAAACGAUGAUGGCUAACCGCUGGGCUUAUCAGUUCAGUGGCCAAGCGAAAGCGAUAAGCCAUCCACCUGGGGAGUACGACCGCAAGGUUGAAACUCAAAUGAAUCGACGGGG
This 393-nucleotide ribosomal RNA is filed under the name uncultured bacterium. RNAcentral describes it as "partial 16S ribosomal RNA". It matches the Rfam family "Bacterial small subunit ribosomal RNA", at positions 523 to 918 of the family's 1533-position model. The record is from RNAcentral.